This 495-nucleotide ribosomal RNA is filed under the name uncultured bacterium. Its description in RNAcentral is "partial 16S ribosomal RNA". It matches the Rfam family "Bacterial small subunit ribosomal RNA", at positions 28 to 507 of the family's 1533-position model. The record is from RNAcentral.
GACGAACGCUGGCGGCGUGCCUAAUACAUGCAAGUAGAACGCUGAAGGAGGAGCUUGCUUCUCUGGAUGAGUUGCGAACGGGUGAGUAACGCGUAGGUAACCUGCCUGGUAGCGGGGGAUAACUAUUGGAAACGAUAGCUAAUACCGCAUAAGAGUAGAUGUUGCAUGACAUUUGCUUAAAAGGUGCAAUUGCAUCACUACCAGAUGGACCUGCGUUGUAUUAGCUAGUUGGUGAGGUAACGGCUCACCAAGGCAACGAUACAUAGCCGACCUGAGAGGGUGAGCGGCCACACUGGGACUGAGACACGGCCCAGACGCCUACAGGAGGCAGCAGUAGGGAAUCUUCGGGAAUGGACGGAAGUCUGACCGAGCAACGCCGCGUGAGUGAAGAAGGUUUUCGGAUCGUAAAGCUCUGUUGUAAGAGAAGAACGAGUGUGAGAGUGGAAAGUUCACACUGUGACGGUAUCUGACCAGAAAGGGACGGCUAACUACGUG